AACGAACGCUGGCGGCAGGCCUAACACAUGCAAGUCGAGCGAGGACUUCGGUCCUAGCGGCGGACGGGUGAGUAACGCGUGGGAACGUGCCCUUUGCUUCGGAAUAGCCCUGGGAAACUGGGAGUAAUACCGGAUGAGCCCUUUGGGGGAAAGAUUUAUCGGCGAAGGAUCGGCCCGCGUUGGAUUAGGUAGUUGGUGGGGUAAUGGCCUACCAAGCCGACGAUCCAUAGCUGGUUUGAGAGGAUGAUCAGCCACACCGGGACUGAGACACGGCCCAGACUCCUACGGGAGGCAGCAGUGGGGAAUCUUAGACAAUGGGGGAAACCCUGAUCUAGCCAUGCCGCGUGAGCGAUGAAGGCCUUAGGGUUGUAAAGCUCUUUCAGCUGGGAAGAUAAUGACGGUACCAGCAGAAGAAGCCCCGGCUAACUCCGUG
This 433-nucleotide ribosomal RNA is filed under the name uncultured bacterium. Its description in RNAcentral is "partial 16S ribosomal RNA". It matches the Rfam family "Bacterial small subunit ribosomal RNA", at positions 29 to 507 of the family's 1533-position model. The record is from RNAcentral.